RNAcentral lists this ribosomal RNA (547 nucleotides) under uncultured marine eukaryote. RNAcentral's name for it is "bacterial SSU rRNA". It matches the Rfam family "Eukaryotic small subunit ribosomal RNA", at positions 615 to 1009 of the family's 1831-position model. The record is from RNAcentral.
GCUGUUAAAAAGCUCGUAGUUGGAUCAAGAGUUCGACAGUGCAAGGUGGCCUCGCUUGCUCACUUGGCUCCGGUCAUGUGUGCGGCGGCGGAUCAACCCCUUGCGCCAAACUGUCGUCUCUAACAGACCGAAGCGGUUUCCCUGUGAGUAAGCCACUUAAUUGGGGCUGAAAGCGUUUACGCAUUAACCACAUGCAUACGGGACGUCGGUCAAAGUUACUGUGAACAAACCAGCGUGUCCAAAACAGGCUUUGCCUGAAUGUUCGAGCAUGGAAUAACAUGGGAUCGAUUCUCUCGGUUCUUUUUGUUGGGUUUGAACCCGAGAAGGAGUAAUUCAGGCCAAGGUGUCUGGGCUGGGUUCCCCUUACCUUCGGGUAAGGCCCCAGUUAGGCCUUGUCCUUACGGGAUAAAUAGGGACUGACGGGGUCGUACGUACUUCCACGUCAGAGGUGAAAUUCUUAGAUCGUGGGAAGACGAACUUCUGCGAAAGCAUUCGACAAGAAUGUCUUCAUUAAUCAAGAACGAGAGUGUGGGGAUCGAAGAUGAUC